UGACUGGAGUUCAGACGUGUGCUCUUCCGAUCUUGAAUCCAUAUGACUUGCCGCCUUCGGGUGGCCGGCGUGUGGUGGAUGCGUGGGACCUGAUCUGGUAGUAGCCAAGCGAUGGGGUGACGCAGGAAGGUAGCUGGGCCAGUCAGUGGUUGUACUGGUGUAAGCCUGUAGGGCGAACGGUAGGCAAAUCCGCCGUUCUUCAAGCCUGAGAGGUGAUGCGUAGCCGAUUGAGGCGAAUUCAGUGAUCCUAUGCUGCCGAGAAAAGCCUCUAGUGAGUUGUUACACGGCCCGUACCCCAAACCGACACAGGUGGUCAGGUAGAGAAUACUAAGGCGAUCGAGAUAACUAUGGUUAAGGAACUCGGCAAAAUGCCCCCGUAACUUCGGGAGAAGGGGGGCCCCUGCCGGUGAUCACUCUUGCAGUGUGAGCUGGUGUGGGCCGCAGAGACCAGUGAGAAGCGACUGUUUACUAAAAACACAGGUCCGUGCGAAGUCGUAAGACGAUGUAUACGGACUGACGCCUGCCCGGUGCUGGAAGGUUAAGAGGACCGGUUAGCCGCAAGGCGAAGCUGAGAAUUUAAGCCCCAGUAAACGGCGGUGGUAACUAUAACCAUCCUAAGGUAGCGAAAUUCCUUGUCGGGUAAGUUCCGACCUGCACGAAUGGCGUAACGACUUCCCAACUGUCUCAACCGCGAACUCGGCGAAAUUGCAUUACGAGUAAAGAUGCUCGUUACGCGCAGCAGGACGGAAAGACCCCGGGACCUUUACUAUAGUUUGGUAUUGGUGAUUGGGACGGUUUGUGUAGGAUAGGUGGGAGACGUUGAUGCGGCCACGCUAGUGGUGGUGGAGUCGUUGGUGAAAUACCACUCUGAUUGUUCUGGUUAUCUCACUGUGGACCGUGAUCCGGUUCAAGGACAGUGCCUGAUGGGUAGUUUGACUGGGGCGGUCGCCUCCUAAAGGGUAACGGAGGCGCCCAAAGGUUCCCUCAGCCUGGUUGGUAAUCAGGUGGUGAGUGUAAGUGCACAAGGGGGCUUGACUGUGAGACUGACAGGUCGAGCAGGGACGAAAGUCGGGACUAGUGAUCUGACGGUGGCUUGUGGAUGCGCCGUCACUCAACGGAUAAAAGGUACCCCGGGGAUAACAGGCUGAUCUUGCCCGAGCGCUCAUAGCGACGGCAUGGUUUGGCACCUCGAUGUCGGCUCGUCGCAUCCUGGGGCUGGAGUCGGUCCCAAGGGUUGGGCUGUUCGCCCAUUAAAGCGGCACGCGAGCUGGGUUCAGAACGUCGUGAGACAGUUCGGUCCCUAUCCGCUGCGCGCGGAGGAAUCUUGAGAAGGGCUGUCUUUAGUACGAGAGGACCGAGACGGACUGACCUCUGGUGUGCCAGUUGUUCUGCCAAGAGCAUGGCUGGUUGGCUACGUCGGGUUGUGAUAACCGCUGAAAGCAUCUAAGCGGGAAGCACGCUUCAAGAUAAGGGUUCCCACAGGAGUGUUCCUGGUAAGGUCCCCGAGAGAUGAUCGGGUUGAUAGGCCAGACGUGGACGCAUCGUAAGGUGUGGAGCUGACUGGUACUAAUAGACCGAGGACUUUCAUUA
This 1590-nucleotide ribosomal RNA is filed under the name seawater metagenome. Its description in RNAcentral is "bacterial LSU rRNA". It matches the Rfam family "Bacterial large subunit ribosomal RNA", at positions 1416 to 2925 of the family's 2925-position model. The record is from RNAcentral.